GGUUAAGUUAAUAAGGGCGCACGGUGGAUGCCUUGGCACUAGGAGCCGAAGAAGGACGUGACAAACGACGAUAUGCCUUGGGUAGCUGUAAGUAAGCGAUGAUCCAGGGAUUUCCGAAUGGGGGAACCCAACAGGUACUACCUGUUACCCGCAUCUGUUAAGGAUGUGAGGAGGAAGACGCAGUGAACUGAAACAUCUAAGUAGCUGCAGGAAGAGAAAGCAAAAGCGAUUGCCUUAGUAGCGGCGAGCGAAACGGCAGGAGGGCAAACCGAAGAGUUUACUCUUCGGGGUUGUAGGACUGCAAUGUGGACUCAAAGAUUAUAGAAGAAUGAUUUGGGAAGAUCAGCCAAAGAGAGUAAUAGCCUCGUAUUUAAAAUAGUCUUUGUACCUAGCAGUAUCCUGAGUACGGCGGGACACGUGAAAUCCCGUCGGAAUCUGGGAGGACCAUCUCCCAACCCUAAAUACUCCCUAGUGACCGAUAGUGAACCAGUACCGUGAGGGAAAGGUGAAAAGCACCCCGGGAGGGGAGUGAAAUAGAACCUGAAACCGUGUGCCUACAACAAGUUCGAGCCCGUUAAUGGGUGAGAGCGUGCCUUUUGUAGAAUGAACCGGCGAGUUACGUUAUGAUGCGAGGUUAAGUUGAAGAGACGGAGCCGUAGGGAAACCGAGUCUGAAUAGGGCGCCUUAGUAUCAUGACGUAGACCCGAAACCAUGUGACCUACCCAUGAGCAGGUUGAAGGUGCGGUAAGACGCACUGGAGGACCGAACCAGGGCACGUUGAAAAGUGCUUGGAUGACUUGUGGGUAGCGGAGAAAUUCCAAACGAACUUGGAGAUAGCUGGUUCUCUCCGAAAUAGCUUUAGGGCUAGCGUCGACAUUAGAGAUUCUUGGAGGUAGAGCACUGUUUGGGUGAGGGGUCCAUCCCGGAUUACCAAUCUCAGAUAAACUCCGAAUGCCAAUGAAUUAUGGUCGGCAGUCAGACUGCGAGUGCUAAGAUCCGUAGUCGAAAGGGAAACAGCCCAGACCACCAGCUAAGGUCCCAAAAUAAUUGUUAAGUGGAAAAGGAUGUGGGGUUGCACAGACAACUAGGAUGUUAGCUUAGAAGCAGCUAUUCAUUCAAAGAGUGCGUAAUAGCUCACUAGUCGAGUGACCCUGCGCCGAAAAUGUACCGGGGCUAAAACAAUUUACCGAAGCUGUGGAUACCUUUAUAGGUAUGGUAGGAGAGCGUUCUAUGUGUGAAGAAGGUGUACCGUGAGGAGUGCUGGAACGCAUAGAAGUGAGAAUGCCGGUAUGAGUAGCGAAAGACAGGUGAGAAUCCUGUCCACCGUAAGACUAAGGUUUCCAGGGGAAGGCUCGUCCGCCCUGGGUUAGUCGGGACCUAAGGAGAGACCGAAAGGUGUAUCCGAUGGACAACAGGUUGAUAUUCCUGUACUAGAGUAUGUAGUGAUGGAGGGACGCAGUAGGCUAACUAAAGCAGACGAUUGGAAGUGUCUGUCUAAGCAGUGAGGUGUGAUAUGAGUCAAAUGCUUAUAUCUAUAACAUUGAGCUGUGAUGGGGAGCGAAGUUUAGUAGCGAAGUUAGUGACGUCACACUGCCAAGAAAAGCUUCUAGCGUUUAAACAUACUCUACCCGUACCGCAAACCGACACAGGUAGUCGAGGCGAGUAGCCUCAGGUGAGCGAGAGAACUCUCGUUAAGGAACUCGGCAAAAUGACCCCGUAACUUCGGGAGAAGGGGUGCUGACUUUAAGUCAGCCGCAGUGAAUAGGCCCAAGCAACUGUUUAUCAAAAACACAGCUCUCUGCUAAAUCGUAAGAUGAUGUAUAGGGGGUGACGCCUGCCCGGUGCUGGAAGGUUAAGAGGAGUGCUUAGCGUAAGCGAAGGUAUGAAUUGAAGCCCCAGUAAACGGCGGCCGUAACUAUAUUUGGGCACUGUCUCAACGAGAGACUCGGUGAAAUUUUAGUACCUGUGAAGAUGCAGGUUACCCGCGACAGGACGGAAAGACCCCAUGGAGCUUUACUGCAGUUUGAUAUUGAGUGUCUGUACCACAUGUACAGGAUAGGUAGGAGUCUAUGAGAUCGGGACGCCAGUUUCGAAGGAGACGUUGUUGGGAUACUACCCUUGUGUUAUGGCCACUCUAACCCGGAUAGGUGAUCCCUAUCGGAGACAGUGUCUGACGGGCAGUUUGACUGGGGCGGUCGCCUCCUAAAAGGUAACGGAGGCGCCCAAAGGUUCCCUCAGAAUGGUUGGAAAUCAUUCGCAGAGUGUAAAGGUAUAAGGGAGCUUGACUGCGAGAGCUACAACUCGAGCAGGGACGAAAGUCGGGCUUAGUGAUCCGGUGGUUCCGUAUGGAAUUGGGCUGUUCGCCCAUUAAAGCGGCACGCGAGCUGGGUUCAGAACGUCGUGAGACAGUUCGGUCCCUAUCCGUCGCGGGCGUAGGAAAUUUGAGAGGAUCUGCUCCUAGUACGAGAGGACCAGAGUGGACUUACCGCUGGUGUACCAGUUGUCUUGCCAAAGGCAUCGCUGGGUAGCUAUGUAGGGAAGGGAUAAACGCUGAAAGCAUCUAAGUGUGAAACCCACCUCAAGAUGAGAUUUCCCAUGAUUUUAUAUCAGUAAGAGCCCUGAGAGAUGAUCAGGUAGAUAGGUUAGAAGUGGAAGUGUGGCGACACAUGUAGCGGACUAAUACUAAUAGCUCGAGGACUUAUCCAA
This 2706-nucleotide ribosomal RNA is filed under the name Streptococcus mitis. Its description in RNAcentral is "23S ribosomal RNA". It matches the Rfam family "Bacterial large subunit ribosomal RNA". Lineage: Bacteria; Bacillati; Bacillota; Bacilli; Lactobacillales; Streptococcaceae. The record is from RNAcentral.